Camelus dromedarius (Arabian camel) is the source of this 96-nucleotide small nuclear RNA. NCBI's taxonomy places the organism in Eukaryota, Metazoa, Chordata, Mammalia, Artiodactyla, Camelidae. The record is from Ensembl.
UGCCUGUUCGGCGGCACUAAAAUUGGAACAAUACAGAGAUUAGCACAGCCUCUGUGUAAGGAUGACAUGCAAAUUUGUGAAGUGUUCCAUAUUUUU